AAAACAUUCAAGUCUUGAGAUCAUAAAGACAUCAGAUUGCACUGUAAAAUGGAAAGGAAUUACAUGGGUGUAUCUCCUCCCAUUUGUACUUUUGAAACUCUCUUCCAUGGUAAAGCGUUCCCAUCAUGUGUAGUCAUUCUUUCUGUUCGACACCACGUCUGCCUCUCAAACUGUGCUCUUCGGGCAGACUCUGUGUUACAAGAGCGAUGCUGCUGUUAUGGAUGACAUUCUCUCUCACAUGGCACAAUCGGCUUUAUGAUCCACAGCAUGAAGGAAGGUCUGUGUCUGGAGGACUCAUCUGAAGGAGUUGUUGAGUUAAGGACAUGCAGUCUGGACUCGGUCCUGCAGCAGUGGAAGUGGACAGAUCACUGGUUCCUAGUAAACACAGGCACCCUGAGGUGUCUUUCUGCCAUCCACACUGACCCAGUCCAGACUAUCGCUUGUGAUUCUGGUGAACAUAUCAAAUGGCAGUGCAAAGCUCAACAGCUCAUCAGUCAGCAAAACUCUCUGGCAUUGAGCACUGAGAGAGGAAAACUCAGACUGAACAAGGGUGAACAUGACACCUGGAAGUCUCUGGAUGCGGGUGACAUCUGCCAGAAUAAACGGAGAUCCAGAAGAGAAAGUGAUUUAGAGACCGAUGAGUUUGACUUUCCUGAAGGGCCGCCUAAACAAAGAAUGACAGAGGCACAGAUGAAGUUUUUACAGUGGUAUUACCGUACAGAGGACUCAACAUCGUGGAAGUUUGGCAUGCUGGCAUUUGCUUUUCUGGGUCUUCUGAUUGGGGCGAUGCUUCUGGUCAUGGGCAUGAUGGCUAAUAGGAACAGGAAGCAAAUAGCCAAAUACAAAGCAGCCUCAAAAGUCACAGCAGUGGAAUCUGAAAUGGAGGAACUGCAGGCCAUCGUCACUGAUAAUGUCACAGAGGUCAAGGAGGAGAAAACCCAUUUCACCCCAUCUGAACCAAUUACUACACAUAACAGCCACAGGGAAUGGGAUUGGGGAGAGCCUUCAUACGAUAGCAAAGCCUCAGAGAGACUGAAGCCCGGAGAAAUUGUGGUGACCUGGAAGGACGGGAAUGUGUCUACUCUGUAUCCUGAACCUGCAGAGGAAGAGGACAUCCACAACACAGAUGCAGAGUCUAUGUCCCACAACUCCCCCCAAGGAAUAGCUUCAUCUGAGACGACUGCAUUUUAAUUUAGUCCUACUGUUUGUGUUAAUUUUAACACUAUAUUCAAGAUGGCAUCGGA
Cyprinus carpio (common carp) is the source of this 1244-nucleotide long non-coding RNA. NCBI's taxonomy places the organism in Eukaryota, Metazoa, Chordata, Actinopteri, Cypriniformes, Cyprinidae. The record is from Ensembl.